RNAcentral lists this ribosomal RNA (898 nucleotides) under bacterium 22F07-Zb4-8. RNAcentral describes it as "bacterial SSU rRNA". It matches the Rfam family "Bacterial small subunit ribosomal RNA", at positions 560 to 1463 of the family's 1533-position model. The record is from RNAcentral.
UUAAAGGGUCCGUAGGCGAGCAGUUAAGUCAGUGGUGAAAGUCUUCCGCUCAACGGGAGAACUGCCAUUGAUACUGAUUGUCUUGAGUUAUUAUGAAGUGGUUAGAAUGAGUAGUGUAGCGGUGAAAUGCAUAGAUAUUACUCAGAAUACCGAUUGCGAAGGCAGAUCACUAAUAAUAUACUGACGCUGAUGGACGAAAGCGUAGGUAGCGAACAGGAUUAGAUACCCUGGUAGUCUACGCCGUAAACGAUGGUUACUAGCUGUUCGGCCCAAUUGAGGGCUGAGUGGUUAAGCGAAAGUGAUAAGUAACCCACCUGGGGAGUACGUUCGCAAGAAUGAAACUCAAAGGAAUUGACGGGGGCCCGCACAAGCGGUGGAGCAUGUGGUUUAAUUCGAUGAUACGCGAGGAACCUUACCAGGGCUUAAAUGUAGUCUGACAGGUCUGGAAACAGGCUUUUCUUCGGACAGAUUACAAGGUGCUGCAUGGUUGUCGUCAGCUCGUGCCGUGAGGUGUCAGGUUAAGUCCUAUAACGAGCGCAACCCCUGUGGUUAGUUGCCAGCGAGUAAAGUCGGGAACUCUAGCCAGACUGCCGGUGCAAACCGCGAGGAAGGUGGGGAUGACGUCAAAUCAUCACGGCCCUUACGUCCUGGGCCACACACGUGCUACAAUGGUAGGGACAGAGAGCAGCCACUUCGCGAGAAGGAGCGAAUCUACAAACCCUAUCACAGUUCGGAUCGCAGUCUGCAACUCGACUGCGUGAAGCUGGAAUCGCUAGUAAUCGCAUAUCAGCCAUGAUGCGGUGAUUACGUUCCCGGGCCUUGUACACACCCCCCGUCAAGCCAUCGAAUACCGGGGGUUCCUGAAUUAGUCAGUCGCAACAAGGUAACCACUAGAGGU